AAAUGAAAGGCUUCGGAAAUGAAAUGGGGAAACUAGGGGACCCAUCCAACACCCAAACCCACCAUAUUUUAACACACAAUUAUUGCAGAGAUUUUUGGUUUGGGCAGUUGCCAUGUUCUUUUUCGUCACCUAGAGGCUUUGGUCGGGAUAAUUGUUAAUUCAAACCAAUCCAGAGUUAACACUUGUAAGAUAUGUCUAUUGGAUAUUUUGAGGGAAUAUAAUGUCGGGAAAACCCUGAGAGGAAGAAACUUUGUGAUAGAAAAUGUGUUUGAAGAUGCUAUGGAAAAUCAUCUAAAGUUGAUGGCCAAAGCAUUUAAGCCUGCUUCGAUGCUUAUCCCAGAGUAAGGACUCAAUUUUCUAGUAUGUUCCUUGCGGCAACAACCAAUUUCACUUCGAUAUUUCCUACACGUUUUGAAUUACGGCUUUGAUUCUCUUUAUGUAUUAUUCUAAUGCUUUUAAGGUUUUCAAGGAAUAAAUGCUAUUAAUCCUAUCAUCUUGACAUCCAUAUUUACUCCUCUUUUUUUUUUUUGACAAAGAAAUCGAGGUAUAGUACUUAGUUGAGUCAAGCUCGCAAGAGUGAAAAGGCCCUAUUGAAAACUUGAUAGGCCCAUUAGCCCUAUACUAAGCGUGACUAUACCAGCCCCAUUACACUGAUGAGUUGAUACACUUGACAGCGUCGGCACCUUGUGUAUACCAGGAUGCAAUAUUUCUUGUUUGAGAGGCAAAUGAUAGUAAAACUUGAACCAUUAAUCCAGAUGUCGGCAAACAGUUGGAUUGAAUCCCCUUAUGAAUUAUCAGUUUAUACUAAUAGUUACUCCUCAAAGUUAAGCGAUUGCCUUCUAAACUUUUAAGUAUGCACAUCUUUUGUUGUACAUACGACCAGUCAAGUUGACAGGGAUCAGAGACUGUUGCUUCGGCAGUUGGCAACAACAACAUACUAAGAUUUGUAAGUGAAACAGAAAAGUGGAUCGAUUAGUCUGCUGCCAUGACAAAAGGUAUCAUCACAGCGACUUUUCGCUUUGACUACCGAAGAUUUGAUCUCACUACACAAUAGAAACCUCAUAAUCUAUACCCAUCGCAAACCUCACCCAAAUGAAAAAUUACACCAAUGUUGGAUCCAAUUGCUUUCUUUGCAUGGAAUUCUUUUACCAACUACAUCUACAGUACAUAUUUUUUCCUACAUAGCUGGAUUAAAACCUCAAUGGCUAGGUAUGGUAAAGACAAGAUGCCAUGGACUACGUAGCCGGGUCUGUGCUCAAAACCUCCAAAUUCUUGGUGCAUCCAUCAUUUAUAGAGGCUUCAGGUUGACUGUCACUUUUUUUAAUUAAUGAACAAUCAAUGGCAUUUUGACUCUCUUCAACCGGAUUUGUAAUAGCAUCUAGUUGAUUACCCUCAACCAUUGAUUUCUCAUUAGAAUGCGCAGCAACAACCUCAAGAUUCUUCGACUCAGAUUCUAGAUUUGACACGGCCGGUUUAUCUUCUCUAACUCCCUCACCUUGUUCAUUUUUUGACACACAUGCUCCAUUUUCUUUCACCAGCUCUUUAGGUAAACCGUCUGACAUAAAACUUUUGUUCUCUCCUGCAGCGUCCAGCUCUUCCUUCAGUGUACCAUCAACAGUUGGACUCGAGGUAACAGUAUUACACUGCUGAAUCGACACAUUUAAUGAUGAAGAAGAUGCAGAUGGAGUAUGCUCAACUCUUUGUAUUGGAGAUUUUACUGAACC
This 1724-nucleotide long non-coding RNA is filed under the name Theobroma cacao (cacao). RNAcentral describes it as "long non-coding RNA (TCAC_LNC004732)". The record is from RNAcentral. Lineage: Eukaryota; Viridiplantae; Streptophyta; Magnoliopsida; Malvales; Malvaceae.